Molecule: ribosomal RNA, 492 nt
Filed under: uncultured bacterium
Lineage: Bacteria
Description: partial 16S ribosomal RNA
Rfam family: Bacterial small subunit ribosomal RNA
Source: RNAcentral
AGUGAACGCUGGCGGCAGGCCUAACACAUGCAAGUCGAGCGGAAGCACAGUACGUGCUCGCGGUUACGGGUGCCGAGGGGCGGGUGAUGCCGAGGAAUAUGGGUGUCUACUUUGUCUUACGGCCUGACGCGGGCGCACAUACGCCAUUACCGCAGAGGGCGUACGUGUGGGAUCUUCGGACCUUCCGCUCUUGCAUGAUUGUAGGACCCGAUGUCGGAUUAGCUAGUUGGCGGGGUAAAGGCCCACCAAGGCGACGAUCCGUAGCUGGUCUGAGAGGAUGAUCAGCCACACUGGAACUGAGACACGGUCCAGACUCCUACGGGAGGCAGCAGUGGGGAAUAUUGGACAAUGGGCGCAAGCCUGAUCCAGCCAUGCCGCGUGUGUGAAGAAGGUCUUCGGAUUGUAAAGCACUUUUGUUGGGAAAGAAGAGCAGUAGGUUAAUACCUCGCUGUUCUGACGGUACCAACAGAAUAAGCACCGGCUAACUUCGUG